This is a non-coding RNA of Erythranthe guttata (spotted monkey flower), 1227 nucleotides long. NCBI's taxonomy places the organism in Eukaryota, Viridiplantae, Streptophyta, Magnoliopsida, Lamiales, Phrymaceae. The record is from RefSeq and is a predicted model, not a curated record.
ACCAAAUUGCAUGUGUUUGGCUUAGUUAUCAGUUGGUUGUUUAUGAUUUUAUGGAUGACAAUUUUAGUACUUAUGUGAGGAUGACUAUACAUACUUGUCUGAUAUUUGCUCGAAUUAUUGGAUUGCAUUCAAAAGAACUUUGAUGACACUUAUUGAUCAAUAUUACAUGUUUCAUGAUCGUUCUUAUGCAUCAUCCCCUCUAUUUCACAUCACUAUCUUAUGGAUUUUUGUUUCCUCAGUGUGUCGAUGUAUUUUUCUUCCCGGAUAUUAUUCCCCGAGAUGAAUUUGAGAAAACCUCCGAAGCUCGCUUCUUCAUACAUCACAGGAUAUCGCUUGUCCACAAGUUCCGAAGCGGGCCCCACUUUUGUAUCCAUCGAAAGGCUCUGAAUAUUGGCGAUCGAAAUCCGAUUCUUCUCCGAGUUCAAAACCGCUCGAUGAACAACUCCUCUAUAUCUGCCAUUGCUCAGUACCUCCAUGUGAUCUCCCAACUGAACCACCAAUCCUCCUUUUAUGACAGGCCUAAUGCUAGACUUGGUUCGGGGCAAGAAGGGUAAUAAUUCACUGCUGUGACUUGUUGGAGGAUCCGAUGGCCAAGAAUCGAUCCAAGUAGAGAUUGGCUGUGAGUAGUGUUUGAUGAAGUCUCUCCAAUAUUGAACUUUAUCCUUGACGUGGUUUAGGCUGGUCCCGUACCUUACCGGUUUGCAGACAUUAUCGGAGGCAAGGCGCAUCUUUGUCUCGUUUGGCAAAUCGAAAAACUCUUGAGCAACAUCCAGUGCGUCUUUUGCGAGGGAAACUUGACCGACGAGGCGUGAUCGAAGAAGAGGGUUGUCUAACGAGGAGAGAUCUAUAACGGGCAAAGGCCUAGUGAAGAAGCAAUGCUGCUGCAUCGGGUUACGGUCAGUUAGUGUGGGGCGAUGUUGGAGAGGAAGUAUAUAACGCUGCGGAACAUUUCUUCUUCUCAUUUGUGAAACUGUCAUUGCACUUGUGAAUGAGAAUCUCUUUUAUUCGUGGAAUAUUCCUCGAAAUACCAAUUCUACUAUCAGGGGCAAUUGUAAUAAUAUUAUUUUAUGAUAGGGGCUAAGUGUAAUAUUUCUUUCGGACUAAAUUAUGACCGUUGUGUACUAAUUGUUGUGUAUGUGAGUUAUAUUGCAUUGUUCAUCAUUUAAGAGGGUGUUAAUCGUGAUCAUACGAGUGUUUGAUUCACUACACCUAUCUUCGGUUAUUUCU